UUAAUGUCACUUUUAUAUUCAAGCUGAGAAAACAUCUUAUUCAUGUGAGAUCCAUAUCACAUGGGCUACACUAUAUUAACUCUUGUGUUGUCUUCCCGUCGUCCAUUAUCUGUAUGUUUGU
Molecule: long non-coding RNA, 121 nt
Organism: Sander lucioperca (pikeperch)
Lineage: Eukaryota; Metazoa; Chordata; Actinopteri; Perciformes; Percidae
Exons: 3
Source: RefSeq, a predicted model, not a curated record